AAGUCGUAACAAGGUUUCCGUAGGUGAACCUGCGGAAGGAUCAAUAGUGAGGAGGAGGGGUGGUAGGGGGUGUUUUGGAGGGACCUCUGGUUUCCUUUAAACACAUUCCUCUCCCCAUUAACAUUUACGCAUGAUUAGUAUGACAGAGUAAAAGACACAGUAUAUACAACUUUUAACAAGGGAUCUCUUGGCUCUU
Molecule: unclassified non-coding RNA, 196 nt
Filed under: fungal sp.
Lineage: Eukaryota; Fungi
Also listed under: 1 other name
Description: partial internal transcribed spacer region
Rfam family: Eukaryotic small subunit ribosomal RNA (bases 1-46)
Source: RNAcentral